This is a long non-coding RNA of Saccostrea cuccullata (small rock oyster), 964 nucleotides long. RefSeq lists it as uncharacterized. The transcript has 2 exons. The record is from RefSeq and is a predicted model, not a curated record. Lineage: Eukaryota; Metazoa; Mollusca; Bivalvia; Ostreida; Ostreidae.
CAUUUUGGCCGCACCCUUGCCCCGGGGGUCAUGAUUUGAACAAACUUGAAUCUACACUACCAGAGGAUGAUUCCACAUGAGUUUCAUCUUUCCUGGCCUAGUGGUUCUGGAGAAGAAGAUUUUUUAAAAAUGCCAUUAAGUUUUAACAAAAUCAUGAUUAUCUCCUCUUGGAAAAGGGCGUGGCCCUUCAUUUGAACAAACUUGAAUCCCCUUCACAAAAGGAUACUUUGUGCCAAGUUUGGUUGAAAUUGGCUUACUGGUUCUUGAGAAGAAGAUGAAAAUGUGAAAAGUUUACAACAAUGCAAACGACAACGACGACGACGACAGACAACGGACAAAUUUUGAUCAGAAAAGCUCACUUGAGCCUUCGGCUCAGGUGAGCUUAAAAGGAGGGGGAGGUAUCAGGCAUUUUAAUUGAGGGGACUCGAGCAUGUGGUAGUAAUUUUUUCUAAAGUAUUAAUACCUGUUUUCUAUAGUAUACUGUAUGCUUUCUAUAGUAUUCUAAAUAUCGGAAAAGUAAUGACAAGAAAUUUCCUUUACGACAUUUUGAAGGGAAAUCGGAAGUCUUUUAAUUCAGGGAUAGACAAAAGUAAUUCAUUCUAUGAAGUAUAAAUGUAUACAACGUAGUUUAUAAAGCUAUUUUCAUUCAACUGCAAUAUUUCCGAUUUAAAAUUGGGUCUAUUUUAUUAACAGAUAAAAAUUUAUGACAAAUAUGUUUGAAAAUGUUCUCAAAUCCGGUAAGAUGUUUCUUCUUUCUUACGUCCAUGUACACUUGUUAUAAUUUUCUUUCUGCACCCUAGCCUUACUUUUAUUACGGUUAACUAUGACUAUGAUUAUAUCGGGAAAUUGAAUUCACGGAUUGCUUGUUUUAUUUUGAGUGAAUUGUUGAUUAAUUGAAUUUUUUUUCGAGUCAUGCAGGCAUACGAAAAUAAUGACGUCGCACCAACGUAAUAUAACGUCGUGA